Molecule: transfer RNA, 72 nt
Filed under: Camelus bactrianus (Bactrian camel)
Lineage: Eukaryota; Metazoa; Chordata; Mammalia; Artiodactyla; Camelidae
Also listed under: 2 other names
Rfam family: tRNA
About the family: Transfer RNA (tRNA) molecules are approximately 80 nucleotides in length. Their secondary structure includes four short double-helical elements and three loops (D, anti-codon, and T loops).
Source: Rfam by way of RNAcentral
GAGGGUAUAGCUCAGUGGUAGAGUGUGUGCUUAGCAUGCAAGAGGUCCUGGGUUCAAUCCCCAGUACUGCCA